CCUACGGGAGGCAGCAGCUAAGAAUCUUCCGCAAUGGGCGAAAGCCUGACGGAGCGACGCCGCGUGAACGAAGAAGGCCGUGAGGUUGUAAAGUUCUUUUCGGGAGGGGGAACAACCGUGGCAGGGAAUGGCCGCGGGAUGACGUGAAUCCCGGAAUAAGCCCCGGCUAACUACGUGCCAGCAGCCGCGGUAACACGUAGGGGGCGAGCGUUGUUCGGAAUCAUUGGGCGUAAAGGGCGUGCAGGCGGUCCUGCAAGUCCGGCGUGAAAGACCCCGGCCCAACCGGGGGGGCGCGCUGGAAACUGGAGGGCUUGAGUACAGGAGGGGAUGCCGGAAUUCCAGGUGUAGGGGUGAAAUCUGUAGAUAUCUGGAAGAACACCAAUGGCGAAGGCAGGCAUCUGGCCAUGUACUGACGCUGAGACGCGAAGGUGCGGGGAGCAAACAGGUUUAGAUACCCUGGUAGUCCGCACAGUAAGCGAUGUGCACCAGGUGGCGGGGGGUCGACCCCCGGUACCGUAGCUAACGCAUUAAGUGCACCGCCUGGGGAGUAUGCUCGCAAGGGUGAAACUCAAAUGAAUUGACGGGGA
RNAcentral lists this ribosomal RNA (587 nucleotides) under uncultured bacterium. RNAcentral's name for it is "bacterial SSU rRNA". It matches the Rfam family "Bacterial small subunit ribosomal RNA", at positions 338 to 919 of the family's 1533-position model. The record is from RNAcentral.